Molecule: long non-coding RNA, 353 nt
Organism: Panicum virgatum (switchgrass)
Lineage: Eukaryota; Viridiplantae; Streptophyta; Magnoliopsida; Poales; Poaceae
Exons: 2
Source: RefSeq, a predicted model, not a curated record
CGGCGUACGAGACGGCGUUGGCCGAAGAGAGGAGAUUACGACAAGAGAACGAGCAGAAGCAGGCGGCCGAGAUGGCCCAGAUGUACAACUACAUUCAAAGUCUUUCUGUCCAAAUGGGUAAUCCCAUCCCAGCCUUCCAUGUGGUUCCUGCUCCUACUACUCCUCCGAAUCUAUCGGCGGCAUCGAAUACGCCAGACUUGUCGCCGGGCAUCUCACCGACGCUCCCACAGCAGUUGUUCCCACCUCAGUUCGGCGGCCCACCACCGUUCGACGGCCCACCGCAGCCAUAAACUAGUUUAUUUCAAUAUUUAUGGACUUGUGAACUUCUGGAUAUGUAUUUGUGAACUUCUGGA